GCAUGCGACAGCUCAAAUUCAGCACUUCAGCAUCCUUGGCCAUACCUGAAAGAGCUGUUUGAAGUGAAGACGAAGAAGGGCAAUUGUAUGAUUAUGUCAUGCCAACUUUGCUUGCCUAAGCCAGUUUAAAUCUCGGCAUUCAAGAGUUCUACAUCCAAUUUGAAAAAACACAUUGAGAGAAAACAUCCAAUGAAAUUAAAGCAGUACAAUGAAUGCAUCUUGAAAAGAAAGAACAGAGGUGUGAUUCAGCUGUGAAACAGAUGAAGAUUAAAGACUUCUCUGUGUCCUGCAGGCAGGUUACUCAGUCCACAGUUGACAGGCUUGUAGUUGAUUUUGUCUGUGAAAGCCUUCAGCCCUUUACCAUAGUUGAACUUCCUACAUUCAAAAAUCUAAUCUGUACAAUGCAACCUAGCUGUACAGUUAUGUCCAGACCAACUAUGAAGCUGAGAAUUGGGGAAGCAGCCGCAAAGAUAAAGAAAAACAUCAUUGCUGAGAUGGCAAAAGUCAACUAUAUAGGUACCACUACUGACUGUUGGACAGCACGACAACAGUUACAUUGGUGUAACAGCACACUGGAUUGAUGAACCUACUCUGGAAAGAAGGUCUGCUUCCAUUGCCUUCAGACGCUUGAAAGGUUCACAUACAUUUGAUUUGCUCGCAGGGACCUUGGUUGACAUCCACUCGGAAUAUGGCAUCUCAGAAAAAAUUGUCAGAACGACAACUGAUAGUGGAUCAAAUUUUAUCAAAGCCUUUAGAGUGUAUGGUGAACCGAGUCAGCAAGAGUUAAUUGAUGCUGAGGCUGACUCUGCUGAGGCAGUGACACUGGAUGAUGAGAAUGAUGCAAAAGGAUUUGAAGUUCAGGACACCUGUUCCAUUUUCAACGCUAACAGUGGGUUGGAGUAUCAUCUACCCAAGCAUCAGCGUUGCACGUGUCAUCUCCUUAAUUUGGUGGCUACUGUGGAUGCUUCCAAGGCAGAGGACAGCAGUGAGGUAUUUAAGAAGCUUUCCCGUUCAACAUUUGCGAAAUACCAGGCAUUAUACAAUAAAACCAGCCGGUCUGCCAUCAGUGCUGAGAUUGUGCAAGAAGAAUGUAAGCUGCAGUUCAUUCAGCCCAACCACACACGAUGGAAUUCAGUGUACAAUGCUGCAGAGAGUGUAAUGCGGAUCCUAAAGGAGCAGGGAGAAGCAUCCCUUCGGAAUGUACACUCACCUAAAGGAUUAUUAGGAACACCAUACUAAUACUGUGUUUGACCCCCUUUCGCCUUCAGAACUGCCUUAAUUCUACGUGGCAUUGAUUCAACAAGGUGCUGAAAGCAUUCUUUAGAAAUGUUGGCCCAUAUUGAUAGGAUAGCAUCUUGCAGUUGAUGGAGAUUUGUGGGAUGCACAUCCAGGGCACGAAGCUCCCGAUCCACCACAUCCCAAAGAUGCUCUAUUGGGUUGAGAUCUGGUGACUGUGGGGGCCAUUUUAGUACAGUGAACUCAUUGUCAUGUUCAAGAAACCAAUUUGAAAUGAUUCGAGCUUUGUGACAUGGUGCAUUAUCCUGCUGGAAGUAGCCAUCAGAGGAUGGGUACAUGGUGGCCAUAAAGGGAUGGACAUGGUCAGAAACAAUGCUCAGGUAGGCUGUGGCAUUUAAACGAUGCCCAAUUGGCACUAAGGGGCCUAAAGUGUGCCAAGAAAACAUCCCCCACACCAUUACACCACCACCACCAGCCUGCACAGUGGUAACAAGGCAUGAUGGAUCCAUGUUCUCAUUCUGUUUACGCCAAAUUCUGACUCGACCAUCUGAAUGUCUCUACAGAAAUCUAGACUCAUCAGACCAGGCAACAUUUUUCCAGUCUUCAACUGUCCAAUUUUGGUGAGCUCUUGCAAAUUGUAGCCUCUUUUUCCUAUUUGUAGUGGAGAUGAGUGGUACCCGGUGGGGUCUUCUGCUGUUGUAGCCCAUCCGCCUCAAGGUUGUGCAUGUUGUGGCUUCACAAAUGCUUUGCUGCAUACCUCGGUUGUAACGAGUGGUUAUUUCAGGCAAAGUUGCUCUUCUAUCAGCUUGAAUCAGUCGGCCCAUUCUCCUCUGACCUCUAGCAUCAACAAGGCAUUUUCGCCCACAGGACUGCCGCAUACUGGAUGUUUUUCCCUUUUCACACCAUUCUUUGUAAACCCUAGAAAUGGUUGUGCGUGAAAAUCCCAGUAACUGAGCAGAUUGUGAAAUACUCAGACCGGCCUGUCUGGCACCAACAACCAUGCCACGCUCAAAAUUGCUUAAAUCACCUUUCUUUCCCAUUCUGACAUUCAGUUUGGAGUUCAGGAGAUUGUCUUGACCAGGACCACACCCCUAAAUGCAUUGAAGCAACUGCCAUGUGAUUGGUUGAUUAGAUAAUUGCAUUAAUGAGACAUUGAACAGGUGUUCCUAAUAAUCCUUUAGGUGAGUGUAUGUGCAGCAUUCAAAAUUAAAAUGCUAAAUCCUGCUGAAGUUUCUUACCUCUCCGAAUACUGCAUUGUGAUGAAGCCUGUAUCCAUGGCCUUGAACAUCCUUCAGUCCGAAACAAACACUCAGAUGGGGUGGCUGCUUCCCACAAUCUACCUUCUUGAUUCAAAGCUCAAAAAGAUGGACGCUUCAGUCAAGGUAUGUCUUUCCCUUAUUCAUGCUCUGCAGCGGGGUCUACAAAAGCGCUUUGGGGAGUUCAUGGAAGAUCCGGAACUCAUCAGUGCUGCAAUUCUUCUUCCCAAAUUCAAAACGUCAUGGACGGACAAGGCCCACAUCAUAAAAGCAGGUAAGAUAUUUUGUAUAGGAGUACAGAUUACUUGAUGAAAUUGAUAUUAUGCCAAUAUCUGUUAAAGCGUGAAAACACAUGCAGCUUUUUGUUUUUUAAUAUCAGGCCGGACUCAUGGGUACAUUUCGCUUAAAAUCCCACUUGUUACUGUUGCACUACUGCGUAUGGAAAAUGUUUGUGUGGAGUUAAACUAUAGGUUCAAUGUUUAUUUACUUGCCUAAUCUAGCACAGUCGGACUGUGAAACGAUGUUAGAAAAGGCAAGGGUAUAGGGUUAAAUGCAGCAGUGCUUAUGUAGCAAGUGAACGGCUUUAUUUAAUUUCUAAAUUAUCCAUGACAACCCCAAUACUUGGUCCAUACAACAUAGUUUGACUAUCAGCAUUAUCCACAAUUAUCACUAAUUUCUGUAUUAUGUGUAUAUCAUAGGUAUGGAUUACAUCCUGCGUCGUCUUGAUGCCAUGAAGGACACCCAGGAAAAUGAAUCACAGCGUGUCUCUGACGAGGAUGACUUCUUUUCUUCCAUUAAGACUGUUCCAUCCACAAGAGCAUCUGAAUUGGAUGGAUACUUGGCUUGUGCCUCAGAAGAGAUGGAACUGCUUCACUCAUUUCCUUUGGUGAAAAAGCUAAGCCUUAAACUGAACACACCCUUGCCUGCUUCUGCAGCAUGUGAGCGCCUUUUUAGUUGUGCUGGGCAGCUGUUUACACCUAGACGAGCAAGGCUGGACAGUACAAAUUUUGAGAAUCAGCUCAUUGUAAAACUGAACAACAAAUUCAAAAUGUAAGCUCGUUGUUGACCCCUACAUUAAAAUCGCUGCAAGUCUGUGUUCAUGUUGAGAGACUUUGUCAGUUAUUGCAUGUUAUAUUCACUUUAUUAAUCCAAUUUGUGCUACCGGCUCACCUUUUAUGUAAAAUUGUUAAUGUACAAAGCUUUGCAACCUUUUUCAAUUAACCUGCAAGAAAACCUCUACAGAAUGGUUGUCAUAAAUGUUACCAGAUUAUUGGUUGCUUUCUCAAAUAUUACAUGGCUGUAUUUUCAGUGCUA
Xyrauchen texanus (razorback sucker) is the source of this 3806-nucleotide long non-coding RNA. RefSeq lists it as uncharacterized. Lineage: Eukaryota; Metazoa; Chordata; Actinopteri; Cypriniformes; Catostomidae. The transcript has 3 exons. The record is from RefSeq and is a predicted model, not a curated record.